This 274-nucleotide ribosomal RNA is filed under the name uncultured bacterium. Its description in RNAcentral is "partial 16S ribosomal RNA". It matches the Rfam family "Bacterial small subunit ribosomal RNA", at positions 523 to 796 of the family's 1533-position model. The record is from RNAcentral.
AUACGGAGGAUGCAGGCGUUAUCCGGAUUUAUUAGGUUUAAAGGGUGCGCAGGCGGUCUUUUAAGUCAGUGUUGAAAGUUUGCAGCUUAACUGUAAAAUUGGCAUUGAAACUGUAAGACUUGAAUAUGUUAGAGGUAGGCGGAAUGUGUAGUGUAGCGGUGAAAUGCUUAGAUAUUACACAGAACACCAAUUGCGAAGGCAGCUUACUAUACCAUUAUUGACGCUGAGGCACGAAAGCGUGGGUAGCGAACAGGAUUAGAAACCCCAGUAGUCC